Molecule: transfer RNA, 82 nt
Filed under: Armatimonadota bacterium
Lineage: Bacteria; Bacillati; Armatimonadota
Description: Armatimonadetes bacterium (activated sludge metagenome) tRNA-Leu
Rfam family: tRNA
About the family: Transfer RNA (tRNA) molecules are approximately 80 nucleotides in length. Their secondary structure includes four short double-helical elements and three loops (D, anti-codon, and T loops).
Source: RNAcentral
GGGUGAGUGGCGGAACUGGUAUACGCGCAUGACUUAGGAUCAUGUGGGGUUACCCGUGCGGGUUCGAGUCCCGCCUCGCCCA